GGUGAACGAUUUUGCUUUUGGCAUGUGAUUAGAAGAGAACUGUCUCUUCUUUAGUGAGAGUUCAGCCUUGGCACUGAGUUGCUUUGGAGAGGGAGAUCCAGAUUAGAUCUAGGUCAUUCCCUGUUAUUCUUCCGUCCUCCAGCAACCUUUGUUGAUCCAUCUUCAACCUUGGAAGGGCCCGAGGCAAUUCGAGAAGGAGAUCCAACCAGAUCAGCCAUCAGUAGUGAUCUUCAUGAGCGAGCAC
This 244-nucleotide long non-coding RNA is filed under the name Elaeis guineensis (African oil palm). Its description in RNAcentral is "long non-coding RNA (EGUI_LNC009502)". Lineage: Eukaryota; Viridiplantae; Streptophyta; Magnoliopsida; Arecales; Arecaceae. The record is from RNAcentral.